Molecule: ribosomal RNA, 715 nt
Filed under: Bacillus anthracis (anthrax bacterium)
Lineage: Bacteria; Bacillati; Bacillota; Bacilli; Caryophanales; Bacillaceae
Description: bacterial SSU rRNA
Rfam family: Bacterial small subunit ribosomal RNA
Source: RNAcentral
GUCGAGCGAUGGAUUAAGAGCUUGCUCUUAUGAAGUUAGCGGCGGACGGGUGAGUAACACGUGGGUAACCUGCCCAUAAGACUGGGAUAACUCCGGGAAACCGGGGCUAAUACCGGAUAAUAUUUUGAACUGCAUGGUUCGAAAUUGAAAGGCGGCUUCGGCUGUCACUUAUGGAUGGACCCGCGUCGCAUUAGCUAGUUGGUGAGGUAACGGCUCACCAAGGCAACGAUGCGUAGCCGACCUGAGAGGGUGAUCGGCCACACUGGGACUGAGACACGGCCCAGACUCCUACGGGAGGCAGCAGUAGGGAAUCUUCCGCAAUGGACGAAAGUCUGACGGAGCAACGCCGCGUGAGUGAUGAAGGCUUUCGGGUCGUAAAACUCUGUUGUUAGGGAAGAACAAGUGCUAGUUGAAUAAGCUGGCACCUUGACGGUACCUAACCAGAAAGCCACGGCUAACUACGUGCCAGCAGCCGCGGUAAUACGUAGGUGGCAAGCGUUAUCCGGAAUUAUUGGGCGUAAAGCGCGCGCAGGUGGUUUCUUAAGUCUGAUGUGAAAGCCCACGGCUCAACCGUGGAGGGUCAUUGGAAACUGGGAGACUUGAGUGCAGAAGAGGAAAGUGGAAUUCCAUGUGUAGCGGUGAAAUGCGUAGAGAUAUGGAGGAACACCAGUGGCGAAGGCGACUUUCUGGUCUGUAACUGACACUGAGGCGCGAA